Long non-coding RNA from Saccostrea cuccullata (small rock oyster), 404 nucleotides. RefSeq lists it as uncharacterized. NCBI's taxonomy places the organism in Eukaryota, Metazoa, Mollusca, Bivalvia, Ostreida, Ostreidae. The record is from RefSeq and is a predicted model, not a curated record. The transcript has 4 exons.
GGAGACAAGAUCUGCAAAGUUACACCUUGGGCAAUUCCAGCAAAAAGUACAAGAGAAAUCAGAAAAUCCCAGCAAAGAAGGAGAACUUGAAGCUAAUGAGGAGACUGAGGAUGAUACAUUUAUUCCAAGGAAACUCUUUCUUUUUAAUAUAGAAUCUUUCAAGGAGAACCCAAAGAGAAUUGAGUCAAAUCUAACUAACUAUACUCCUAACCCAUCUACAAGCUUGCAAAACUAUUCAGAAGAGGAUGACCAUGCUCAUGGAACAUGUUCAGAAAAGAAAUCAUCUCCAACCAAGACAAGAAAGAGCAUCAGAACCCGUGUUUUAAAGUUUUUUGGACUAAGAUAAAUCCAAGUUUAGAAGAAAAGUAAAUCUGAGAGACUGCUAAUGAUAUUAAAUUGUGUUU